This 3004-nucleotide ribosomal RNA is filed under the name Salmonella enterica subsp. salamae. RNAcentral's name for it is "23S ribosomal RNA". It matches the Rfam family "Bacterial large subunit ribosomal RNA". The record is from RNAcentral. Lineage: Bacteria; Pseudomonadati; Pseudomonadota; Gammaproteobacteria; Enterobacterales; Enterobacteriaceae.
GGUUAAGCGACCAAGCGUACACGGUGGAUGCCCUGGCAGUCAGAGGCGAUGAAGGACGUGCUAAUCUGCGAUAAGCGCCGGUAAGGUGAUAUGAACCGUUAUAACCGGCGAUUUCCGAAUGGGGAAACCCAGUGUGACUCGUCACACUAUCAUUAACUGAAUCCAUAGGUUAAUGAGGCGAACCGGGGGAACUGAAACAUCUAAGUACCCCGAGGAAAAGAAAUCAACCGAGAUUCCCCCAGUAGCGGCGAGCGAACGGGGAGGAGCCCAGAGCCUGAAUCAGCAUGUGUGUUAGUGGAAGCGUCUGGAAAGGCGCGCGAUACAGGGUGACAGCCCCGUACACAAAAGCGCAUAUGCUGUGAGCUCGAUGAGUAGGGCGGGACACGUGGUAUCCUGUCUGAAUAUGGGGGGACCAUCCUCCAAGGCUAAAUACUCCUGACUGACCGAUAGUGAACCAGUACCGUGAGGGAAAGGCGAAAAGAACCCCGGCGAGGGGAGUGAAACAGAACCUGAAACCGUGUACGUACAAGCAGUGGGAGCCCCACCACUAAGCCAGUGGUGAACUCCACAUACGCAUCCUUUGCGGAAGGUGCGGUUAACGGAGCGUAAGCGACGUUCAACCUCAAAAAAGCAGAGGGGGCUUAGUGGUGGGGUGACUGCGUACCUUUUGUAUAAUGGGUCAGCGACUUAUAUUCUGUAGCAAGGUUAACCGCAUAGGGGAGCCGAAGGGAAACCGAGUCUUAACCGGGCGUUAAGUUGCAGGGUAUAGACCCGAAACCCGGUGAUCUAGCCAUGGGCAGGUUGAAGGUUGGGUAACACUAACUGGAGGACCGAACCGACUAAUGUUGAAAAAUUAGCGGAUGACCUGUGGCUGGGGGUGAAAGGCCAAUCAAACCGGGAGAUAGCUGGUUCUCCCCGAAAGCUAUUUAGGUAGCGCCUCGUGAAUUCAUCUCCGGGGGUAGAGCACUGUUUCGGCUAGGGGGCCAUCCCGGCUUACCAACCCGAUGCAAACUGCGAAUACCGGAGAAUGUUAUCACGGGAGACACACGGCGGGUGCUAACGUCCGUCGUGAAGAGGGAAACAACCCAGACCGCCAGCUAAGGUCCCAAAGUCAUGGUUAAGUGGGAAACGAUGUGGGAAGGCCCAGACAGCCAGGAUGUUGGCUUAGAAGCAGCCAUCAUUUAAAGAAAGCGUAAUAGCUCACUGGUCGAGUCGGCCUGCGCGGAAGAUGUAACGGGGCUAAACCAUGCACCGAAGCUGCGGCAGCGACGCUUAGGCGUUGUUGGGUAGGGGAGCGUUCUGUAAGCCGUUGAAGGUGGCCUGUGAGGGUUGCUGGAGGUAUCAGAAGUGCGAAUGCUGACAUAAGUAACGAUAAAGCGGGUGAAAAGCCCGCUCGCCGGAAGACCAAGGGUUCCUGUCCAACGUUAAUCGGGGCAGGGUGAGUCGACCCCUAAGGCGAGGCCGAAAGGCGUAGUCGAUGGGAAACGGGUUAAUAUUCCCGUACUUGGUGUUACUGCGAAGGGGGGACGGAGAAGGCUAUGUUGGCCGGGCGACGGUUGUCCCGGUUUAAGCGUGUAGGCUGACUUUCCAGGCAAAUCCGGAGAGUCAAGGCUGAGGCGUGACGACGAGGCACCACGGUGCUGAAGCAACAAAUGCCCUGCUUCCAGGAAAAGCCUCUAAGCAUCAGGUAACAUCAAAUCGUACCCCAAACCGACACAGGUGGUCAGGUAGAGAAUACCAAGGCGCUUGAGAGAACUCGGGUGAAGGAACUAGGCAAAAUGGUGCCGUAACUUCGGGAGAAGGCACGCUGACAUGUAGGUGAAGCGGUUUACCCGUGGAGCUGAAGUCAGUCGAAGAUACCAGCUGGCUGCAACUGUUUAUUAAAAACACAGCACUGUGCAAACACGAAAGUGGACGUAUACGGUGUGACGCCUGCCCGGUGCCGGAAGGUUAAUUGAUGGGGUCAGCGCAAGCGAAGCUCCUGAUCGAAGCCCCGGUAAACGGCGGCCGUAACUAUAACGGUCCUAAGGUAGCGAAAUUCCUUGUCGGGUAAGUUCCGACCUGCACGAAUGGCGUAAUGAUGGCCAGGCUGUCUCCACCCGAGACUCAGUGAAAUUGAACUCGCUGUGAAGAUGCAGUGUACCCGCGGCAAGACGGAAAGACCCCGUGAACCUUUACUAUAGCUUGACACUGAACAUUGAGCCUUGAUGUGUAGGAUAGGUGGGAGGCUUUGAAGCGUGGACGCCAGUCUGCGUGGAGCCGACCUUGAAAUACCACCCUUUAAUGUUUGAUGUUCUAACGUGGACCCGUGAUCCGGGUUGCGGACAGUGUCUGGUGGGUAGUUUGACUGGGGCGGUCUCCUCCUAAAGAGUAACGGAGGAGCACGAAGGUUGGCUAAUCCUGGUCGGACAUCAGGAGGUUAGUGCAAUGGCAUAAGCCAGCUUGACUGCGAGCGUGACGGCGCGAGCAGGUGCGAAAGCAGGUCAUAGUGAUCCGGUGGUUCUGAAUGGAAGGGCCAUCGCUCAACGGAUAAAAGGUACUCCGGGGAUAACAGGCUGAUACCGCCCAAGAGUUCAUAUCGACGGCGGUGUUUGGCACCUCGAUGUCGGCUCAUCACAUCCUGGGGCUGAAGUAGGUCCCAAGGGUAUGGCUGUUCGCCAUUUAAAGUGGUACGCGAGCUGGGUUUAGAACGUCGUGAGACAGUUCGGUCCCUAUCUGCCGUGGGCGCUGGAGAACUGAGGGGGGCUGCUCCUAGUACGAGAGGACCGGAGUGGACGCAUCACUGGUGUUCGGGUUGUCAUGCCAAUGGCACUGCCCGGUAGCUAAAUGCGGAAGAGAUAAGUGCUGAAAGCAUCUAAGCACGAAACUUGCCCCGAGAUGAGUUCUCCCUGAGACUUAAAGUCUCCUGAAGGAACGUUAAAGACGAUGACGUUGAUAGGCCGGGUGUGUAAGCGCAGCGAUGCGUUGAGCUAACCGGUACUAAUGAACCGUGAGGCUUAACCUU